AGUGAACGCUGGCGGUAGGCCUAACACAUGCAAGUCGAACGGAAGCACAGGAGAGCUUGCUCUCUGGGUGGCGAGUGGCGGACGGGUGAGGAAUACAUCGGAAUCUAAUUUUUCGUGGGGGAUAACGUAGGGAAACUUACGAUAAUACCGCAUACGACCUACGGGUGAAAGCAGGGGACCUUCGGGCUGUGCGCGAUUGAAUGAGCCGAUGUCGGAUUAGCUAGUUGGCGGGGUAAAGGCCCACCAAGGCGACGAUCCGUAGCUGGUCUGAGAGGAUGAUCAGCCACACGGUAACUGGGACACGGUCCAUACUCCUACGUGAGGCAGCAGUGGUGAAUAUUGGACAAUGGGCGCAAGCCUGAUCCAGCCAUACCGCGUGGGUGAAGAAGGCCUUCGGGUUGUAAAGCCCUUUUGUGGGGAAAGAAAUCCAGCUGGCUAAUACCCGGUUGGGAUGACGGUACCCAAAUAAUAAGCACCGACUAACUUCGUGCCAGCCGCCGCCGUAA
RNAcentral lists this ribosomal RNA (506 nucleotides) under uncultured bacterium. RNAcentral describes it as "partial 16S ribosomal RNA". It matches the Rfam family "Bacterial small subunit ribosomal RNA", at positions 29 to 523 of the family's 1533-position model. The record is from RNAcentral.